RNAcentral lists this ribosomal RNA (700 nucleotides) under uncultured bacterium. RNAcentral describes it as "bacterial SSU rRNA". It matches the Rfam family "Bacterial small subunit ribosomal RNA", at positions 42 to 788 of the family's 1533-position model. The record is from RNAcentral.
UCAGGCCUAACACAUGCAAGUCGAGCGCGCCCUUCGGGGUGAGCGGCGGACGGGUUAGUAACGCGUGGGAAUAUACCCUUUGGUACGGAAUAGCCUCUGGAAACGGAGAGUAAUACCGUAUGUGCCCUUCGGGGGAAAGAUUUAUCGCCAAAGGAUUAGCCCGCGUUAGAUUAGGUAGUUGGUGGGGUAAUGGCCUACCAAGCCUACGAUCUAUAGCUGGUUUUAGAGGAUGAUCAGCAACACUGGGACUGAGACACGGCCCAGACUCCUACGGGAGGCAGCAGUGGGGAAUCUUGGACAAUGGGGGCAACCCUGAUCCAGCCAUGCCGCGUGAGUGAUGAAGGCCUUAGGGUCGUAAAGCUCUUUCGCCUGUGAAGAUAACGACGGUAGCAGGUAAAGAAACCCCGGCUAACUCCGUGCCAGCAGCCGCGGUAAUACGGAGGGGGUUAGCGUUGUUCGGAAUUACUGGGCGUAAAGCGCACGUAGGCGGAUCGGAAAGUUGGGGGUGAAAUCCCGGGGCUCAACCCCGGAACUGCCUCCAAAACUAUCGGUCUAGAGUUCGAGAGAGGUGAGUGGAAUUCCGAGUGUAGAGGUGAAAUUCGUAGAUAUUCGGAGGAACACCAGUGGCGAAGGCGGCUCACUGGCUCGAUACUGACGCUGAGGUGCGAAAGUGUGGGGAGCAAACAGGAUUAGAUACCCU